UACAGAGGGUGCGAGCGUUAAUCGGAAUUACUGGGCGUAAAGCGUGCGUAGACGGUUAUUUAAGUCGGGUGUGAAAGCCCCGGGCUCAACCUGGGAAUUGCAUUUGAGACUGAAUAGCUAGGGUACGGUAGAGGGAAGCGGAAUUUCCGGUGUAGCGGUGAAAUGCGUAGAUAUCGGAAGGAACAUCAGUGGCGAAAGCGGCUUCCUGGACCAGUACCGACGUUCAGGCACGAAAGCGUGGGGAGCAAACAGG
RNAcentral lists this ribosomal RNA (253 nucleotides) under uncultured bacterium. RNAcentral describes it as "partial 16S ribosomal RNA". It matches the Rfam family "Bacterial small subunit ribosomal RNA", at positions 524 to 776 of the family's 1533-position model. The record is from RNAcentral.